UAGACACCGCUGGUUAUUGUAACAGAGGAAAGACAGGGUCUCACAGAGGCUACUCCAUCCCACUGUUAUUUGUAUUUCUGAUUCAUCACUUAUAACUAUUAGCAUGACGCUAUUCAAACACACAAAAAAGCCAGGAAACACAGGAUUAUCCUAUGCAUGUGAGGCAGAGAGCAAGAAAUAUCUGGCAAAUAUUACUUAUUAUGACCACAUUUGCCCAGAUAGAAAGCAAUCACGGUAUUCCCUAGAGUUAUGGAGGGGCCUAUUUUUCUGGGCACAUUUGUGUGACAUAUAUGGACAUACUCGGCUGUUCCUUAGCAAAGAAGAAUAACUGAUAAUAUACAAGGUGUGCUGUAUACAAGGGAAGCAAACGCUCGUCACCAUGUUUUCUCAUCAAGCAACAGGAACCAUCAUUCUGUAGAAACAAAGGCACCGACAAAACAUUUCCAACCAUUAAAAUAAUUUUCCAACAUGGUUUCAGUAAUUAGUGUAUUUCAUUUUCAACAACUAUAAUUAAACCUGA
Molecule: long non-coding RNA, 520 nt
Filed under: Homo sapiens (human)
Lineage: Eukaryota; Metazoa; Chordata; Mammalia; Primates; Hominidae
Description: HSALNT0070502
Source: RNAcentral